RNAcentral lists this long non-coding RNA (7642 nucleotides) under Medicago truncatula (barrel medic). Its description in RNAcentral is "long non-coding RNA (MTRU_LNC002870)". Lineage: Eukaryota; Viridiplantae; Streptophyta; Magnoliopsida; Fabales; Fabaceae. The record is from RNAcentral.
GAAAGUUUACUUUGUCUGGUCUGCUUAACUAUAUGGAUGGUUUGUGGUCAAGUUGUGGAGAGGAACGAAUUUUGAUAUUUACGACGAACCAUAAGGAUAAAGUAGACCCGGCAUUGUUGCGCCCUGGUCGUAUGGACAUGCAUAUUCACCUUUCCUUUCUUAAGGCCAAAGCAUUCAGAAUCUUAGCUGCAAAUUAUUUGGACAUUGAAGGAAAUCAUCACUCACUCUUUGAACAAAUUGAAGAGCUAUUGGAAAAGGUUGAUGUCUCACCUGCAGUAGUGGCAGAGUAUCUAUUGAGAAGUGAAGAUCCUGAUGUUGCUCUUGGAGCACUUGUUAAAUUUCUUCAAGAUCAAGAAAUUGUGAAUGAAGAGACUAGUCAGGAAGUUUAGAGCCUGCUUAGUGGUGUGACAAAUUACUGACAUUAAUAAUGCCUUAUGUUAUUGCAGUUCUUAUUUAUUUAAGUUAUGCUCUCUAGUAUAUUGUAAAUGUAUGCACUUGUAUCUUGAUUCUUGAGUUGUUGUAAAACUUCAAUGCUACAUUUUUAGUAGAUUCUAAUAUCCAUUACAAUUUCAACAAUUUAAAAUAAUAUGAUAGUGGCAGAGUUUCCAGAUAUCAUUAAUUAGAUUGGUUUGUUUUUGGUCAAUACAAUUUUGUUUUGGUUGAUUGUGUUUUGGGUAACUUUUUUCACUGCACAUUUUAACAAAAAACCACUUAUAAUUUUAGAAGUUUACUUAAUUUAUUGGAAGUGUACUCUUGAUAGAGACAAAAUGUGUGUUUUUUUUUUAUUUAUACGUUUGAAGUUAUGAUGAAGGACAAGGAAAGUUUCUCCUAAAUUAGUAUGGCUAGUCCUCCUAUCUAUGCAAGUAUUGCAACACAAAGAAUAAGAUUAGGACGCACAUUGCACUGUAAUUUUCACACUGAAUUCCGCAACACCAGUAAGAAACAUUACAUCGGUUCGAGGGAAUUGGAUUUGAAUAAUCCCUUAACCAAAGUCUCGAGUUUGACCUUUGUGGAUGGAGAAAAUAUGGUUGAAAGGAGAGACCUCACUAAAGAUGUCCAACGAAUUUUUUUGACAGAUAUUAGUCACCGAUAAAAUCAGUCGAUACUUCACACCAAUAAUAUAACUAUCUAAUAACCAAAUAUUGAGAUUUUCUGCAAUCAACAAUCAAUUCAUUUAUAUAGUUACUAACUUUUGCAAAAUCGUAGUGAGUCAUUGUGAUUAUGACAAACUAACUUAAUACCAAAAAUGCACUAAAAUAUCCUAUAAUUAUUUUUGUUGUUGCUUAUGUAGAUAUGAGGUUGGAGUACAUUGAUUUGGGAUAAACUUUCUCCGCUCUAUUUAAGCAUUAAAGAAUGCGUUGCAAUUACAAAUAAAUCAUUCAGAAUAAUCCGUGUUUGAAUCUUAACUAGAUUAAUUUUUUAUCAGAUUUUACUGAUCCUCUCAUCGAACUAUGAAUUAGAAGACUUUUUUCUUCAAAUAGACUAUUAACACACAAAAAAAAAAAAAAACAUAUUUUGUAUAUUUUAGAAGUAAACAUUUAGCCAAUUUCUGUGGUUUAAAAUACACUUCCAAUAUAAUGUGUAAUUUUUUUAAAAAAUGUAGAUGAAGAAAGUUCCCACAAAUAAUUUGCCUCUCAAUGGGCCUCUACUUUGUAUAGGCCCAAUCCAAAACUACAUCCAACCAAACCAAGAUUUUGUUGGGUUAUUGCGCUUCUCCCAUCAGUUUUUGCUCGUUCCCGUUAAAAUAGUCGAGCGUGAGUUAACUCGUGCAUGUGCAUUUUCAAUGUGUGAAUUAACUCACGUAGAUGUAUUUUUCAGCGUGAGUUAACUAAAGUUGGACGGGAAUGAACAAAAACAAAUGAGAGAAGAUUAAUUCUCAUUUUCUUGACCAUAAAAAUCAGACCAUGAUUCUAUAGCAUACCAUUUUAACAAUGAAAUAUACAAUAUAAGGAACCCACAGAAAGAAAGAAAAAAAAAAAAAAAAAAAAAAAAAAGGCAAAAUGAUAUCUGAAAGCUCUGCAAAUGCAUAUUUUAGAUUGUUGAAAUUGUAAUGAAUAUUAGAAUCUACUAAAAAAUUUGCAUUGCAGUUUUAAAACAAGUCUAGAUACAAGUGUCUAUCUUAAAUAAAAUACUACAACACAAGACGACACUUUUUGUGCAGCUUCAUUUACCCGUAGCAACAAAUACUGAAGUAAACUUUUAUAUUAGGUUUUCGACAUUUUCUGCGGUUUUGUUAUUUGAACCUUUCGACUGCGGUUUUGUCUGGAUUCAAGCGAUUUAAAACAGUUGAACCAUAAUCUAGAGGUCUUGCUGGUUCGAAGUUCGGUUUGGUUUUUAGAACAUUGUUGCUGACUAUAACCUUCAUCCAUAAUAACUCUUGAAAUGUCAAUUUCUUGAAGAAAUUUUAUAAGUUCUUCGAGAACAACAUCAGGAUCCUCACUUCUCAACAGAUGCUCUGCCACUACUGCAGGGGUGACAUCUACUUUUUCCAAUAGCUCUUCAAUUUGCUCAAAGAGUGACUGAUGAUGUUCUUCAAUCUCCAAAUAAUUUGAAGCUAAGAUUCUGAAUGCCUUGGCCUUAAGAAAGGAUAAAUGAAUAUGCAUGUCCAUACGACCAGGGCGCAACAAUGCUGGGUCUACUUUGUCCUUAUGGUUCGUGGUAAAUACAAUAAUUCGUUCCUCGCCACAACUUGACCACAAACCAUCCAUAUAGUUAAGUAGUCCCGAUAGAGUAAAUCAUUUAGGCUUGCUCUUUGUCUUAACCACCUAUUCAAUAAUUUUUAGAAACCAAUGUAAAUUACUCAAUUACUUGCAUAAUUUUAACAGUUAUACAACAAGUGAAUAUACGUUUUAGUCAAAGAAAUUUAGAGUAUUGAUAGAGUUUCGAUAAUUUAGUCCUUUAAAUAUAUUUUUUAAGAGGGAGAUACUCAAUUUAGUUCUUGAUGAGUUAUGCGUUAAUCAAUUUAGUUUUUAAUAGGUUGUGUUGAUCAAUUUAACCUUUAAAGUUGAUAAUAAAAGAGGCACCAAAGAUGAGGUUGCAAUUUCAAAAACAUUUGGUAUCAAAGUGAUUGUUUAUUUAGUAGGUGAAGGUUAUUUUAUUUGAUGAAGUCAAUUGAAUAAUUGUGUGCAGACACAUUCGUAGAAGCUUCCCAUUCAUUUGGUAGUUUCGGAGCAAGAGAUGAUGACUUGAUUCCCUUUUUUUGGUAAGAGAUGGAUGAAGACCGAUUAGUUGUCCAAAUUAAGCAAAUUAUUUUGUUGGUAUGAACGUGCGUUGGCAUGAGUCAAACAUGGUUUGACCAUCUUGUAAAGUUGUUUGGUUGAUGCUUUGAAGUGGAUCAAUUUUCAUAUAUAGAAAUGGGUUUACAUUAAGCAACCAAUUCUAGCUUCUAUGGUGAUGACAAAUUGAUUCUACAAAUUGUAUGUCAACUCAGAGUGUAUCUUUUUAGCAAGGUUGAAAAUGAGUCGAACCGAGUCAAACUUAGGUUCAAUUCAGCUCGACUCGUUAAGAAUUGGAUCGGCUCGAAACUCAACUUGAGUUUACCAUAAACUUUUUUUUUUGCUCGAAUUCAACUCGAUUCAAGCUCGUGAACAACUUGAUUCGGCUUGAUAGCUCGAAUCAAAUAAACCAAAAGGCAAAAAAAACUACCUGUUUGAUUCCCUUCUUAAAAACAGUUUUUUAGUUUUUUAAAAUUAAAAAUUUAAAAACUUGUUUAGCAAUCCAAUUUUACAAGAGUGUUUUUGGAAACUGUUAUUUAGCUGGCAAACAAUAAGUGGGAUAAAGUAUAAGUUUGCUAUGUUGUGAUGUUAUUUCUUUGCAUACCAACUUAUUUAAUAUCACGAGGACUGAUUCAUUCCUUUUAAAUUAUAUUAAAUAAGUUUGAAAUAACUUCUAUUAUUUUUGAUUAAAUUUUUAAAAAAAUCAUUUUAAAAAAUAUAAAAAAAAAUCUAUUUUUUUUAAAUCUAAAACAAACGGCCCUCAAUUCCGUUGUAAAAUACCAGACAAUGAAAUAAAACUUCUAUUCCAUUUUGUUGCUCAAUCCAUUUAGUUUCAUUCCUUCUCUUAAAUAAAAGAAAUAAUGCCAAUAAAAAUAAAAUAAAAGUACAAUACAAUGAUAAAUAAUAAAAUAAAGAAACCAAAAUAUAUGAAAUGAAAAAAAAAAUAAAGAAACCAAAAUAUAUGAAAUGAAAAAUAAAAUAAAAAACUCAAGAGUCUUCAGUCCGUCAGUUUUUUUAUUUUUUUGAAGAAAAAGAGUCUUCAUUCUAGAAACUAACCAAAUAUAGAGAUUAGAGAGAGCAAUAAGUUUUAAAAAUAAAAAUUAAAAAAUGAAAAUGAAACUAGAAACUGUGACCCUUCUACGAGUUUAAUUUCUUCUCUGAAUUUUUUAAAUUCUUUCACAAUUUGAACAUAGCUCUUCUUUUACAUCGUUUGUUUUCUAUUGCAUACUACAUAUUUUUUAAUUCCUCCUCAGCGUCCCAAAAUCACUGUGUUGCUGCCAGAAAGUGAUGUAUCAAGCUAUAUGUUUCUUUUAUUGUGUUUGAUUUCUUUGCUACAAAUUUGCUAUUCUCUAUGUUAUUUCCUCUUAUGUGAUUCUAACUAGCUUGAUGUCCUUUUUACUUUCAUUAUUUUAGCCUACGAAUCACAAGGACAAAGUAGACUCGGCAUUGUUGCGCCCUGGUCGUAUGAACAUGCAUAUUCACUUGUCCUUUCUUAAGGCCAAAGCAUUCAGAAUCUUAGCAUCAAAUUAUUUGGACAUUGAAGAACAUCAUCGGCCACUGUUUGAACAAAUUGAAAAGCUAUUGGAAAAAAUAGAGGUCACCCCUGCUGUAGUGGCAGAGCAUCUGUUGAGAAGUGAGGAUCCUGAUGUUGCUCUUGGAGCACUUAUUAAAUUUCUUCAAAGAAAUUGACAUUUGUUGAGAAGUAAGGAUCCUAUAGCUUCUUAAUUGUUCAUGAAAGACUAUAGUCAGCAAGUUUAGAAGUGCAUUUUGUCAUUUGCAUUUGCUACUAGUAAAAGAAGUAAAAUGAAAACUGUUUUUAUGUUAUUGUGGUAUUUAUUUAAGAUAGACACUUGUAUCUGGACUGUUGUAAAAAUUAAUUGCUAAGUGAUUGGUAGUAGAUUCUAACAUUCAUGACAAUUUCAACAAUCUAAAAUAUGGCAUUGGUAGAGCUUUGACCUUUUGAGAUAUCAUAUUGCCUAUAUAUUUUUAUUUUUUGCAUGAGUUUCUUAUAUUUUAUUUUUUUAUUUCAUUGUUAAAAAAACAUGUUAUAGGUCCCUUCGGGGACAUCCGAUAAAAUUGGAGCGAUACACAUAAAAAAGCAUGAUAUAGAUUCUUAGUUUGGUUGAACGAGUGUGUAUUGGAUUAGACGGAUUAGACCUAUGCAAAAGUAAAAGAGGUCUAUUCAUUUAGUAAAGGGUAGUUAUAUAUACAGGUACACAUUCAAACAAUUUUUAUCUCUAUCUCUCUUUAACUAUCACAUCACCAAUGAAUAAAGAUAUUUGUACAAGGAAAAAGAUAGAUAGUGCGAAUGUGGAGCGACGAAAAUCGACGAACUCUAAUCAUCGUUGGAUUGUAUUUUGCUGCUGGCCAUUUUCUACUUUUAUUUAUUUAAAAAAUAUUAAAGCAUUGCUUAGCUUUCAUCGUGCCUAUGUCGUGAGUUAAUGCUUUCGCACCAUACAGCAAGUCUCUUUGUACAACGAUUUGGUGAUAACUUGUGUGACAAUCUUUUUUUUUUUUUUUCCUUUCUCUCUUCCUAUUGAUCAAGAACAAUAGAGAAAGUUAUAUAUAUAUAUAUAUAUAUAUAAGUGGUUACAAUCUCAACUAAAACCUCUCAAAGAAAAAAUAAAUGUGGUUACAAUCUCAGCCCUUAAUCUCCUUGCACCUUGCUUCAGCUAACCACCUAUGGUUUGUUUAGAAAAAUCCUAGAAAAAAGUAGGUUGUUCCCUUGAUUUUCUUGGAUCCCAAGAUUCUUUUUUUGUUCACAAACGGAAAACCCUCUUUUCAAGAUUCUAAACAAAUCUAUAAUCCCUCUCUUCAAGAACACGUUGAAUAUAAAACCCUAACAGAAACCCUAUCUCUCUCACUCAUUCUUCAUCGCUCAUCACAUCAAAGUUCACACAAUUCUCUACCUCUCUCACUCUUCAUAGCUCUUAACAUCAAAGUUCACACACCACCAUGAGAUCCCCUAUGUUUGGUGGUUUUUCUUCUUCUUUUACAAACACUGGUUCAUCAUCAUCAUCAUGGUUCCAGGCAUAUGCUUCCUUCUCCACUUUUAUGAUGAUAUUAAGAACUGUAUUCAACGAUCUCAUACCCUUAAAACUUCAAAACUUCAUUGCCUCAAAGUUACGAGCUUUCUUCUCAAAUUACCAACCUAAAAAUCAAGUCUCACUUCAAAUCGACCCGCUUUGGGAUGGAAGUCCCAAAAUCCCUUCUAUGCAGCCACAGAGUAUCUCCCUACUAGAAUAUCCAAAACUUACACAUCCCUCAAAGUUGGAAAAAUAUCCGAUCAUAACAAUGCACUCGUAGCUUUUGAUGGAAAGUAAACUGUGGUGGAUGAAUUUGAAGGCAUCAAGAUUAAAUGGAUGCUUACUCAAAAAACCAACAGUGGUCUUUCUAAAAAUCCCAAUAUGCAAGCUGAUGAGAUCCUAUAUCAGUUAAAUAUUAAGCCUAAGCCAAAACAAACGGGGGAGAAUGGGUUUGUGUUAAGUUUUGAUGAGAAGCAUAGAGAUAAAGUAAUGGAGAAGUAUAUUCCACAUGUUUUAAGCCCUUAUGAAGCUAUGCAAGCAGAUAAUAGAACUCUCAAGAUCCAUUCAUUGCAAGGUGCUUGGCUACAAAGUAGUUUUAAUCAUCCAGCUUCAUUUGAUUCAAUUGCUUUGGAUCCUGAUUUAAAGAAAGCUAUAAUUGAUGAUUUAGAUAGAUUCUUGAGGAGGAAAAAGAUGUAUAAAAAAGUUGGUAAGCCUUGGAAACGUGGGUACCUAUUGCAUGGACCUCCAGGAACAGGAAAAUCUACCCUAGUUGCUGCUAUGGCAAAAUAUAUCUGAAAUUUGAUGUGUAUGAUUUGGAUUCAAGCGGUGUGUAUAGUAACUCAGAUCUCAUGAGAGUCACGAGGAACACAUCUAACAAAUCCAUCAUUGUUAUUGAAGACAUUGACUGUAACAAGGAGGUGCUUAACCAAUCAAGAUCAGAAAUGUUUUCAGUUUGUUUUCUUACUCCCUCACCAUCUCAUAUUAACUAUUCUUCUAAAAUACAUUUCUCCAUCUUCUUGUUUUGUUAGCUUUAGUUGGGUUAAGUCUAAAUUCAGCAGUAAUAAAAAUAUUUAGACUAAUUUAAACUGUAUUUUUGCACUUGACAAGGUUAAUUUCAUGCCGCCAACACCUUAGGAUCUUGGAUAUGAUGAGACUCAGGAUCUUGGAUAUGCAGCGACUCAGGGUCUUGGAUAUGCUGGCAUUGCUGCUCCUAAAAAGUUUCUUCAUAACUAUAUGGAUGGUUUGUGGUCAAGGAACGAAUUAUUGUAUUUACUAGGAACCAUAAGGACAAAGUAGACCCAGCAUUGUUGCGCCCUGGUCGAAUGGACAUGCAUAUUCACCUGUCCUUCCUUAAGGCCAAAGCAUUCAGAAUCUUAGCUUCAAAUUAUUUGGACAUUGAAG